Molecule: RNase P RNA, 414 nt
Filed under: Sphingobacterium yanglingense
Lineage: Bacteria; Pseudomonadati; Bacteroidota; Sphingobacteriia; Sphingobacteriales; Sphingobacteriaceae
Description: Bacterial RNase P class A
Rfam family: Bacterial RNase P class A
About the family: Ribonuclease P (RNase P) is a ubiquitous endoribonuclease, found in archaea, bacteria and eukarya as well as chloroplasts and mitochondria. Its best characterised activity is the generation of mature 5'-ends of tRNAs by cleaving the 5'-leader elements of precursor-tRNAs. Cellular RNase Ps are ribonucleoproteins.
Source: RNAcentral
GAAGCAAACUGGUUCUAUCGCUGUUUCGAUUGUGUCCGAUAAGUUACGUACUGUCGGUCUACUGGAAGAGAGGAAAGUCCGGGCAACAUAGAGCAACACGCUUCCUAACGGGAAGGCUCCGAUUUGUCGGAGACAGAAAGUGCCACAGAGAAUAUACCGCCUUGAUUAGUCAGGGUAAGGGUGAAAACGUGAGGUAAGAGCUCACGGUCUUGUAUGGUGACAUGCAUUACGGUAAACCUCGUGUGUUGAAAAACCAAAUAGGUUGCGGGAGCUGAAGGCUGCUCGUCUUCUCCCGAUUUAUCGGGAACCGCAAUGGGUAGGUUGAUGGACCCUAUGAGUGAUUGUAGGGCUAGAUAAAUGAUAGAAUCCCAAUUUAUUGGGAACAGAACCCGGCUUACAAGGUUUGCUUCUUUU